GACGAACCGUGCGAACGUUAUUCGGAAUCACUGGGCUUAAAGCGCGUGUAGGCGGCCCGGCACGUCCGACGCUGAAAGCCCCCGGCUCAACCGGGGAAGGGGCGCGGAUACGACCGGGCUGGAGGGGGGUAGGGGGCGCCGGAACUGCCGGUGGAGCGGUGAAAUGCGUUGAGAUCGGCAGGAACGCCCGUGGCGAAAGCGGCCCGCUGGCCCCUCUCUGACGCUGAGGCGCGAAAGCCAGGGGAGCAAACGGG
RNAcentral lists this ribosomal RNA (254 nucleotides) under uncultured bacterium. RNAcentral's name for it is "partial 16S ribosomal RNA". It matches the Rfam family "Bacterial small subunit ribosomal RNA", at positions 524 to 776 of the family's 1533-position model. The record is from RNAcentral.